GUCGAGCGGGGGAAGGUAGCUUGCUACCGGACCUAGCGGCGGACGGGUGAGUAAUGCUUAGGAAUCUGCCUAUUAGUGGGGGACAACAUCUCGAAAGGGAUGCUAAUACCGCAUACGUCCUACGGGAGAAAGCAGGGGAUCUUCGGACCUUGCGCUAAUAGAUGAGCCUAAGUCGGAUUAGCUAGUUGGUGGGGUAAAGGCCUACCAAGGCGACGAUCUGUAGCGGGUCUGAGAGGAUGAUCCGCCACACUGGGACUGAGACACGGCCCAGACUCCUACGGGAGGCAGCAGUGGGGAAUAUUGGACAAUGGGGGGAACCCUGAUCCAGCCAUGCCGCGUGUGUGAAGAAGGCCUUAUGGUUGUAAAGCACUUUAAGCGAGGAGGAGGCUACUCUAGUUAAUACCUAGGGAUAGUGGACGUUACUCGCAGAAUAAGCACCGGCUAACUCUGUGCCAGCAGCCGCGGUAAU
This 469-nucleotide ribosomal RNA is filed under the name Acinetobacter baumannii. RNAcentral describes it as "bacterial SSU rRNA". It matches the Rfam family "Bacterial small subunit ribosomal RNA", at positions 61 to 524 of the family's 1533-position model. The record is from RNAcentral. Lineage: Bacteria; Pseudomonadati; Pseudomonadota; Gammaproteobacteria; Moraxellales; Moraxellaceae.